AAAGAAUUAGUUAAAUUAUAACAUUAAUAUGUCAUAUUAAAAUUAUUUAAAAGUAAAUAUUCUUUU
RNAcentral lists this transfer RNA (66 nucleotides) under Inocellia sinensis. RNAcentral's name for it is "tRNA-Asp". The record is from RNAcentral. Lineage: Eukaryota; Metazoa; Arthropoda; Insecta; Raphidioptera; Inocelliidae.